CAAGGAGAUGCUAUCCUGUGCUGCUGUGACCACCAGCAUUUGGGGAGAUGGAAGCUGCAUUUAAGGAUUCUGCCAGGUAGAAGAGAGAAGUGAUCCUUGACCCUUCAGUUCAUGGAGAGCUGGUUGGCACUUACUUUGGUUGGCCCAAAGAAAAUACAAUCAAGUGUGUGUGAAAGAGCAAGCACUGGGUCACAGCUCCAAGAGCAGCAGUAAGAAGCAUUCCUUCUCUGUAAAGCAAGGGGCUUAUGGGCAAAAUACAGCCAUUCUCAGACAGCUCAAUGAAACACACACAACCUGAACAAAACAGCACCAUGGCUUGUCCUUGUCGCAGCUCAAAGGAGGGAGCAGCUGCCUCUGCUACCCAGGCUGCACACUGCUGCAGCACAGCUAUUUCCAGGUGUGUUUUCCUCUACCAAACCUGCAGCAUAGAAAGCAAGCCCUGCCCGUUGUGUGGCUGGCUAAUCUCCUAUCACUCAUUCUUCCAUCCAGCAACAUAGCAUUGCGUGUUCUGUCUUUGGUAUCGCUGAAAUAAAGAGCAUAAUUUGAGACA
This 550-nucleotide long non-coding RNA is filed under the name Phasianus colchicus (ring-necked pheasant). Its description in RNAcentral is "lncRNA (ENSPCLG00000015365.1)". The record is from RNAcentral. Lineage: Eukaryota; Metazoa; Chordata; Aves; Galliformes; Phasianidae.